Molecule: ribosomal RNA, 453 nt
Filed under: uncultured Bacteroides sp.
Lineage: Bacteria; Pseudomonadati; Bacteroidota; Bacteroidia; Bacteroidales; Bacteroidaceae
Description: partial 16S ribosomal RNA
Rfam family: Bacterial small subunit ribosomal RNA
Source: RNAcentral
ACGGAAGGCAGCAGUGAGGAAUAUUGGUCAAUGGGCGGAAGCCUGAACCAGCCAAGUCGCGUGAAGGAUGAAGGUAUUAUGUAUUGUAAACUUCUUUAGACGUAGAGAAAUAAGGGGCUCGUGAGCCCUGAUGCUAGUAUACGUAGAAUAAGGAUCGGCUAACUCCGUGCCAGCAGCCGCGGUAAUACGGAGGAUCCGAGCGUUAUCCGGAUUUAUUGGGUUUAAAGGGUGCGCAGGCGGUCUUUUAAGUCAGUGGUUAAAUCGUGAGGCUCAACCUCAUCACGCCAUUGAUACUGGAGGACUUGAUUGCGGUUGAGGUGGGCGGAAUUCGCCGUGUAGCGGUGAAAUGCAUAGAUAUGGCGAAGAACUCCGAUUGCGUAGGCAGCUGACCAAGCCGUAAAUGACGCUCAUGCACGAAAGUGCGGGGAUCGAACAGGAUUAGAUACCCUGGUA